This is a long non-coding RNA of Ictalurus punctatus (channel catfish), 1803 nucleotides long. The record is from Ensembl. Lineage: Eukaryota; Metazoa; Chordata; Actinopteri; Siluriformes; Ictaluridae.
GCCACGCUGAAAUGCAAUCCACGUGCACAAGGACACACCCGGUAACUUACAAGGGUGAUCGCCAUUCAUCGACAUCCGCACGUGAAUACGAAGAAAUUCAGCGUUUACACAACUUUACUCAUAUAUUUACACGCAACUUCACUACAAGGUUGACGAAUAAGACCAAAUUUGACUUUCAGGUUUAAUAAAUUAUAAUUCAGUGGUGGAAUGAACGUCCAACCUCAAUCCGGACCGCAGAACCUGCCGCCAUUUUCAAAAAACAGCUGCAGACCCACCUCUUCCAUGAGCACUUAACUAACCCCUACCAUUCCAACCCCACAUUAUUAAAAAUAAUAAUAAUAAUAAUUACUCUGGCUCUUACACCUCGACUCUGCGCACAUAAAUGUUGUACGGUAGCACCACUCGUAUUGUUCUCCGCUGGAUAUAUCGCUUUGCUUGUAUUUCCUCAUUUGUAAGUCGAUUUGGAUAAAAGCGUCCGUGAAACGAAUGAAUGCAAAUGUAAAUAAUGUAAAUGCAAAUGUAAAUAAAGAUGAUAAAUUAAUCAAAUUUGCAUUACCCCCGCCCACACUUUUAGACUUUACGCCCCAAAAUAGGUGUGUAAAAUAUAUGUGUAAAACAGAUGUGUAAAACAGGUGUGUAAAAUAGAUGUGUAAAAUAGGUGUGUAAAAUAGAUGUGUAAAACAGAUGUGUAAAACAGGUGUGUAAAAUAGAUGUGUAAAAUAGGUGUGUACAAUAGGUGUGUAAAACAGGUGUGUAAAACAGAUGUGUAAAAUAGGUGUGUAAAAUAGGUGUGCAAAAUAGGUGUGUAAGAUAGGUGUGUAAAAUAGGUGUGUAAGAUAGGUGUGUAAAACAGGUGUGUAAAAUAGGUGUUUAAAACAGGUGUGUAAAAUAGAUGUGUAAAAUAGGUGUGUAAAAUAGGUGUGUAAAAUAGAUGUGUAAAAGAGGUGUGUAAGAUAGGUGUGUAAGAUAGGUGUGUAAAACAGAUGUGUAAAAUAGAUGUGUAAAAUAGGUGUGCACAAUAGAUGUGUAAAAUAGGUGUGUAAAAUAGAUGUGUAAAAUAGGUGUGUAAGAUAGAUGUGUAAAAUAGAUGUGUAAAAUAGAUGUGUAAGAUAGGUGUGUAAAAUAGAUGUGUAAAAUAGGUGUGUAAAAUAGGUGUGUAAAAUAGGCGUGUAGAUAGGUGUGUAAGAUAGGUGUGUAAAAUAGGUGUGUAAGAUAGGUGUGUAAAAUAGAUGUGUAAAAUAGGUGUGUAAAACAGAUGUGUAAGAUAGGUGUGUAAAAUAGGUGUGUAAAAUACGUGUGUAAAAUAGGUGUGUAAAAUAGGUGUGUAAAAUAGGUGUGUAAAAUAGAUGUGUAAAAUAGAUGUGUAAAAUAGGUGUGUAAAAUAGAUGUGUAAAAGAGGUGUGUCGUUUUGCUCAUGUGAAAGAUAAGACCUGUCUGUAAAUCAGCUCGUACAUUCGGACAGGUUAAUCCUGUCAGUUAUUCCCAGUGUUUUAUGUCAUGGAUUUCUAUAAGAUGGUCCCUGAAGGUUUAAAAGCCAAAGUGCUGAUAAGAAAUAAAAUGACUGUUACUAAAGAAACACUUAAGUGAAAGUAAAAAGACGCCUUAAUGUUAAACUUCACAGCUCAGUCUCCAUGCCUCGUUAGAGAUUACUUUCAGUCACAUCCCAAACUCAGAGAUUCCAUUCUAACAAGACUCGGGUGCGUUUCACCCAUAAUGCACUGCGAGCACACAUCAGACUUAACACUGAGUGUGUCUGACCCUGUUACCCCACCCCCUUUACUAAACACUCCCAGUGCAUUUCAC